AGAGUAGAGGUGCAUGAGUAACACAAUGUGAUGAGAAGUGUGGUGGAGGGAUGUAAAGGCUGAGGGAUCCUAGAGGAGGGAGUGACUGACUGUGACUUAGGGGGCCAGGAAAAUUUGCUUGGAAAAUGAGGAUGUUUCACUUGCAGAUAAAGCAAAAGUAGUAAGGAGGGGAGAAAGUCUCGGCCAAAGGGAAGGGCAGGUGCUUAGGCACUGGGGUGAGCCUGUUCUGAAUAAGUGGUCCUCUGUCAUGAUAGGCAGAUAGCUUGUCUUGCUAGUGAAAGACUUAAAAUACCUCAUAAAAAAGUUAGUUUGGAGAGCUUUCCCUGGGACAUAGUAAAAGACAGCCUGGAAUGAGGUACUAAAGGCAGUCAGCCCAGUGAAUGGAGUUUGCAACAGAUCAGGUAGGUAGACCUGCAUUUAGUUAUUGGUCACAGAAAUGGAGGGGGGAAGAUAUUGCAAAGUCAAGAUGCCUUAGCGACAGACCCCUAAGUCAUCGGAACUUCAGGGCAGAACUGCCUGUGUGGGAACUCUCCCAUGUCUCCUUGAUUUCGCGGCCACCUCUGCAGGCGCCCUCUCUCGUCUCCGUCGCCAGCCCCCGCCUCCUUUCUCCGUAAGCUUGGGUCUCCCUGGGAGCGGGUCUGCCCUUGGGGGAGGUCUCUGGGCUCUGUGCCCUACAGCUCUGCCGACAUUGGGGGCAGACAGAAGCGGGGUUCGGCGCCCCCCGCGUGCACGUGUGCUAGCCCAGGCAGGAGGGAGCGCCUCGGCGGAGGAGUCAAGGAAGAGGGGGAGGGAGAAACGCGCCAGAACCUCGGUCCCGGGCGCCCUGGUCGGCCGCGGAGGAGCUGCAGCCUCCAACAGGAAGGUGUGGUCCCUGCCAUGCUAUCUGCUCUGCUCACUGACUGAAGGCACCUGCAUCCCAGCUCUGCCAGGAAGCAAAGAUUGCAAACAAUGUGUUGAUUUUUUUGAAAAAGUGAAAACUGCCACACCAUCACAUAGGAGCCUGGAGCAGCCGACACCAGAAAAAGGUUGGGAAACAUAACGUUGGGAAAUAGUUCAGUCAAUGCAUAAGACAGGAAUAGUGAGCAAAACAGCUCCCUUUUUAAAAAAGGAAUUUAUAGCAUCAGAAUUCUGAAUCAUGCUUCACUGGUAAAUUCUACCAAACAUUUAAGGAAGAAAUAAUACCAAUUCUACACAAAAUAUUUUUAGAAAAUAGGAGGGAACCUUGCAACUCAUUUUAAGAGGCCAGCAUUAGCUUGAUACCAAAACCACACACAGGCGUUACAAGAAAACCACAAGCCAAUACCCCUCAUGAAGACAGAUGCAAAAAUCCUCGCAAAAUAUUAGCAAACUGAAUCCAGCCAUCUGCACCUUAUUUCCAGAUGCUCACAGCUGAGCUCUUCCCAG
This 1404-nucleotide long non-coding RNA is filed under the name Aotus nancymaae (Ma's night monkey). Its description in RNAcentral is "lncRNA (ENSANAG00000039026.1)". Lineage: Eukaryota; Metazoa; Chordata; Mammalia; Primates; Aotidae. The record is from RNAcentral.